RNAcentral lists this ribosomal RNA (253 nucleotides) under uncultured bacterium. Its description in RNAcentral is "partial 16S ribosomal RNA". It matches the Rfam family "Bacterial small subunit ribosomal RNA", at positions 524 to 776 of the family's 1533-position model. The record is from RNAcentral.
UACAGAGGUGGCAAGCGUUGUUCGGAAUUACUGGGCGUAAAGGGCGAGUAGGUGGCCAUCUAAGUCAGACGUGAAAUCCCCCGGCUUAACCUGGGAACUGCGUCUGAUACUGGACGGCUUGAGUAUGGGAGAGGAACGUAGAAUUCCAGGUGUAGCGGUGAAAUGCGUAGAUAUCUGGAGGAAUACCGGUGGCGAAGGCGGCGUUCUGGACCGAUACUGACGCUGAGGAGCGAAAGCGUGGGGAGCGAACAGG